AAAAAUUUAAUUUAUUUAUUUUAGAGUUUGAAAAAGUGAUUUUCUUGAGAUCUCCAUUCUUUUCACCGGCUAGUCCAAUACAACAACGGAGUAAUACACCAACUUCCUCUGCCUGCUUAAUACCUUUCCAAGAAACUUCUUUCAAGAUUAAGGUUAAGAGUUCAUCUUCUGAACUCCUCGCACAGAUUUUGAUCUCAAGGAAGAGUUCCACCUGCCUGAUCUGCAUUCAUAUUUCUCGUCUUACACACUGAUCGUCUCUUUGUCCAUUAAUUUCUUUGGUACUUUUCAAAAUGGCUUCUACUUCAUCUUCCAUCAUCCCCUCUAAAAUCACCUAUGACGUUUUCCUUAGUUUUAG
This 355-nucleotide unclassified non-coding RNA is filed under the name Hevea brasiliensis (rubber tree). Lineage: Eukaryota; Viridiplantae; Streptophyta; Magnoliopsida; Malpighiales; Euphorbiaceae. The record is from RNAcentral.